Molecule: ribosomal RNA, 496 nt
Filed under: uncultured bacterium
Lineage: Bacteria
Description: partial 16S ribosomal RNA
Rfam family: Bacterial small subunit ribosomal RNA
Source: RNAcentral
GACGAACGCUGGCGGCGUGCCUAAUACAUGCAAGUAGAACGCUGAAGAGAGGAGCUUGCUCUUCUUGGAUGAGUUGCGAACGGGUGAGUAACGCGUAGGUAACCUGCCUUGUAGCGGGGGAUAACUAUUGGAAACGAUAGCUAAUACCGCAUAACAAUGGAUGACCCAUGUCAUUUAUUUGAAAGGGGCAAAUGCUCCACUACAAGAUGGACCUGCGUUGUAUUAGCUAGUAGGUGAGGUAACGGCUCACCUAGGCGACGAUACAUAGCCGACCUGAGAGGGUGAUCGGCCACACUGGGACUGAGACACGGCCCAGACUCCUACGGGAGGCAGCAGUAGGGAAUAUUCGGCAAUGGGGGCAACCCUGACCGAGCAACGCCGCGUGAGUGAAGAAGGUUUUCGGAUCGUAAAGCUCUGUUGUAAGUCAAGAACGAGUGUGAGAGUGGAAAGUUCACACUGUGACGGUAGCUUACCAGAAAGGGACGGCUAACUACGU